CCGCGUGAAUUUCACUGAUGCAAGGCACGUAAACAUGAAAGUUUUGUCUGAUGUGGAGUCCCUAACAUUAAUAUUUUAUCUAUUUAUAUUGAUUUUAUUUCAAUUAUACCCUAAUUUAAACCCCAAUUUCUCUCUUCUUUUCAAAUUUCUUCCUUUCUUUUUCAAUUUCUCUCUUCUUCAACCUUUCAUGUCAAACUUCUCCAAUUCUUCCAUAGCAUCUGUGGAUGAAGGUUGAUAUUGUAGGUGUGGUGAUGACGCAUUAUUAAAGACUUCAUGGACCUAAUUAAAUUCAGGGCAUAGAUUUUUUACUUGUAGAAUUUCAAAGAAAAUCGGUGGUUAUGACUUAUUUUUUUGUAUGAAGAUCGACAACCUCACAAGAAAACAAAGUAAUGUGGGGAUUGUUGAAGGAAGUCAAUGCUUUUGAUGAAAUGUUAAGGCGAGCAGUAAAUAUAUUUAUUGUUGGUGUCGUUUCUACUGGGUUGCUUAUGUUUGGAAUAUGAAAAUUGAAGCCUAAUUGUUAGUAUUCUUGAUGUGUUCGGUCUAGUACUGAGCCAAACGAUGUUUGAUGUAGUAGUAUUUAGAUGUUGUCGCUGUAAAUUUUUGAUGUAAUUGUGCUUUUGAAUUCAAUGAAAUUCUAAGUUUUAGUAGUA
Molecule: long non-coding RNA, 650 nt
Organism: Solanum lycopersicum (tomato)
Lineage: Eukaryota; Viridiplantae; Streptophyta; Magnoliopsida; Solanales; Solanaceae
Source: RefSeq, a predicted model, not a curated record